GUCACGUUUCCGGUCCGGUUCACUCUAUUGAACCGCUUGGCUAUUGGACCGGACACGAACCACCUGAACCGACGGUCAAACCGGUGACUCGGUCGAACCGGACGGUUCAAAACGAACCGAACAGUUCAAAUUAGCCCCUCAUUUUGCAAGAAGGCCCAUUGAAUUUAAUUGAUUUGUACCAAAGCCCAUGCUGAGCCUUGUCUUAUGACAAAGCCCACACACUCAACCCAACCACAUUUUGGGCUGAGUCUUGAGCCCAUUAAUCAUGGUCAUGCCUAUGCCCUGAGGAUGGCUUUUAUAGGAGUCAUUUGCAUCCUUAUUCCUCUCACUUUCCGAUGUGGGAUUGCUAACAUUAUCAAUGAAAAAAUUAUAUAACAAUCUCCACCAAAAGAGCUUGAACCUUGGACCUCCGGUACACUACCCUCCCUAAGAGACCACUCGGUUAUACCCAUUUUGUUAUCUACCAUGCCAAACUAAAUAAUAUAUUUUAGAUUUUAAAAUUUUUUAUAAUAUUAAAUAAAAAUAAUAUAAUAUUUUUAAAAAUUAUAAAAUUAGUUUAAAUUUUCAAA
RNAcentral lists this long non-coding RNA (569 nucleotides) under Vitis vinifera (wine grape). RNAcentral's name for it is "long non-coding RNA (VVIN_LNC003785)". Lineage: Eukaryota; Viridiplantae; Streptophyta; Magnoliopsida; Vitales; Vitaceae. The record is from RNAcentral.